ACCAGACUCCUACGGGAGGCAGCAGUGGGGAAUAUUGGGCAAUGGGCGCAAGCCUGACCCAGCAACGCCGCGUGAAGGAAGAAGGCUUUCGGGUUGUAAACUUCUUUUCUCGGGGACGAAGAGAUGACGGUACCUGAGGAAUAAGCCACGGCUAACUACGUGCCAGCAGCCGCGGUAAUACGUAGGUGGCAAGCGUUAUCCGGAUUUACUGGGUGUAAAGGGCGUGUAGGCGGGGACGCAAGUCAGAUGUGAAAACCACGGGCUCAACCUGUGGCCUGCAUUUGAAACUGUUUUUCUUGAGUACUGGAGGGGCAGGCGGAAUUCCUAGUGUAGCGGUGAAAUGCGUAGAUAUUAGGAGGAACACCGGUGGCGAAGGCGGCCUGCUGGACUGUGACUGACGUUGAGGCUCGAAAGCGUGGGGAGCAAACAGGAUUAGAUACCCGGGUACG
Molecule: ribosomal RNA, 449 nt
Filed under: uncultured bacterium
Lineage: Bacteria
Description: bacterial SSU rRNA
Rfam family: Bacterial small subunit ribosomal RNA
Source: RNAcentral